Molecule: transfer RNA, 73 nt
Filed under: Archaeoglobus sp.
Lineage: Archaea; Methanobacteriati; Methanobacteriota; Archaeoglobi; Archaeoglobales; Archaeoglobaceae
Also listed under: 1 other name
Description: tRNA-Val
Rfam family: tRNA
About the family: Transfer RNA (tRNA) molecules are approximately 80 nucleotides in length. Their secondary structure includes four short double-helical elements and three loops (D, anti-codon, and T loops).
Source: RNAcentral
GGGCUCGUGGUCUAGGGGUUAUGACACCGCCUUCACACGGCGGAGGUCGAGGGUUCGAAUCCCUCCGAGCCCA